GACUUCUGGUUUAAUGUGCCUGGCCCGCGGCUCUUUAGGCUUGUGUGUGCCGGUGCGCGUUUACCAUCCUUCUGGGGAACGAGUCUACCCUUAACUGGGCCGGAUUCGUCCAGAUCAUUUACUUUGAAAAAAUUAGAGUGUUUAAAGCAGGCUAUUGCUAUGAAUACAUUAGCAUGGAAUAAUAAUCUAGGACUUCGGUUCUAUUUUGUUGGUUUCUAUAACUGAAGUAAUGAUUGAUAGGGAUAGUUGGGGGUGCUAGUAUUGGCCGGUCAGAGGUGAAAUUCUUGGAUUCGGUCAAGACUAACUUAUGCGAAAGCAUU
Molecule: ribosomal RNA, 320 nt
Filed under: Rhogostoma sp.
Lineage: Eukaryota; Cercozoa; Thecofilosea; Cryomonadida; Rhogostomidae
Description: SSU rRNA
Rfam family: Eukaryotic small subunit ribosomal RNA (bases 107-320)
Source: RNAcentral